UUCAAACAUAAUGAAAGUAUCUCCAAAAGAAAAAGAAUAUAAACUUAAAAAAAUGGUUAUAAUGGUCAGUUUUAUGAAAUGUACAAGUAAAGUACCUGCCUUUGUACAGAAUUCCCUGAAGUGUAACAUAGAGCUCACGUUCAAACAUUUUGAUGGCAGGGGGAACCUCAAGAUCCAGAUCAGGCAUUGCAAAGCACCUGUGAUCACCUGAAAAACAAAAAACAGAGAAAGCCAAUCAACUGAUGAAGUGACCAAACGCAAGAAUCCAGCACCCGAGGCUGUGUAGACUCUGGGCAAUCAAGCUGAAGGAAUGAAGUGCUCUGGCAGUCUACUCAGGAAGCACUAUGCCCGAAGUAUAUAAGAAUAAGAUAAGGAACUUUCCUCUUUCCUGUUGGAGAAGCACCACACAAUGGAAGGGGGAGAUUUUCGCUGACCAAACCAUAACUAAGCAACAGAAUGGAUUCUGCUGUCAUUUCCUGGUUUACAAGUAAUCCUGCUAUGAUUCGGCGUAAGGUUUCGUGAACUUUCCGGGCCAGUUUUAAACUUGUGGUAUUUUGCAAGAUCUAAAGGCA
Long non-coding RNA from Budorcas taxicolor (takin), 572 nucleotides. RefSeq lists it as uncharacterized. The transcript is spliced from 3 exons. The record is from RefSeq and is a predicted model, not a curated record. NCBI's taxonomy places the organism in Eukaryota, Metazoa, Chordata, Mammalia, Artiodactyla, Bovidae.